GGCUACACACGUGCUACAAUGGGUAGAACAGAGAGUUGCAAAGCCGUGAGGUGAAGCUAAUCUCAGAAAACUAUUCUUAGUUCGGAUUGUACUCUGCAACUCGAGUACAUGAAGUUGGAAUCGCUAGUAAUCGCAAAUCAGCAAUGUUGCGGUGAAUACGUUCUCGGGUCUUGUACACACCGCCCGUCACACCACGAGAGUUGGUUGCACCUGAAGUAGCAGGCCUAACCGCAAGGAGGGAUGCUCCGAGGGUGUGAUUAGCGAUUGGGGUGAAGUCGUAACAAGGUAUCCGUACGGGAACGU
This 303-nucleotide ribosomal RNA is filed under the name uncultured Fusobacterium sp. Its description in RNAcentral is "bacterial SSU rRNA". It matches the Rfam family "Bacterial small subunit ribosomal RNA", at positions 1212 to 1513 of the family's 1533-position model. The record is from RNAcentral. Lineage: Bacteria; Fusobacteriati; Fusobacteriota; Fusobacteriia; Fusobacteriales; Fusobacteriaceae.